CCUCCCCCCUCCCUUUCUCCAACUUCCCCGCCUCCUGCUUCCUCCCCCCUCUCCCUCCCCACCCUCCCACCCCCACUCCAACCCCCAGGGCUGCGGGCGGCUCCCGGGUUUCGCUGGAGCACACGCAUUUGCGCAGAAUGUGGUUCCCAGGCUCUCGGUCAAGAACUGGGAUGGGAAAAGUUGGCUGGCGGCUCCCGCUGCCCGGCCCCCCUCGAGCCCGGCCCGUCCGCGUCCGGAAAGCGCGGCGCUCGCAGAAGGGCGAGGGGGCUGCGCUCUCCGCUUUUCUUCUCACUUUCACCGUGAUCGUACCCUUGACGUUGAGCACCCGUUAGCGCAGCGGGACUUAACUGUUUUAGGGAAGAAAACGAGGGCGGAAAGGGGGACUGAGAGGGAGAGAGGCGAGGGGGAGGCGAAGGAACAGGGGUGCGAGUUGGCGCGGGCGGCCUGGGGAUGGAGGAGCCUUUGGGCUGAAUUGCCUGUUUGAUCUCGUCCGCGCUGCGCAGGGGUAGGCCGCUGGAAAGACUCGGUGGCCUGGACAACAGGGUCCGAGGGGAAGAAGGUGUAUUUCUGUUGCUGGACAUGAUGGCCACACAAUCUUGCUUCCCACUUUCCUGUCUACAGGCUCAGUAGAUCCAGAUCGUGUGAGUCUCUUUUAUUCCCGUUUUGCACGUGAGGCCACGGAGGCCGGGAUAGACCAGGAUCGCACACGUCUUGGGGGCCUACUCCGGACUCAAACCUACGUCUCUGUGACUCCAAAACUCAUAUUAUACUAUGACCUAGUAUUUGCUGGUGUAAGACGAAUGGUUCCGCUUUAGCGCAGAUGCAAGCGCCACCUUAUUUGGAGGACAGGCAGGUAGAUCUGCAGCUGUAAAACCCGAGGCCCCGAGGCGGGCUUGCACAGCUCCCCUGGCUCUCCGUCCACGUCCACGUCUCUGCUGUCCGCUGCUCCUAGAGCACCUUUCGACUCUUGAAAACAGGAACUGCCAGUUAAAAAGAAUACUACCUAUUUUAUUGAGCCUGAAGGGUUGAGGACAUCACAGACCAGAGGACAAGGCCCGGAGGGAUGGGACUUUGUCUGCUGCCCUCUCACAUCCCGACUGGUACACCUCAGUGAACAAUUUGUAAUGGACACAGUGAAUACAGCAAGGCCCUACUGCAAACCCGAGGACGCAAAGCCUCUGAGAACCUCUCAGACACGGAAGGGGCCACGAGGCUUUUCCCACGUGGCCAGGCUGGAGCAAUGAGUGGGUGCCGGGGAGAGAGCUUCAGGAAUCUCAGGCUCUGGGUAAAGAACUCUUUCCCGGGAUUCCCGCUGUGGCACGACAGGUCUGGUGGCAUCUCUGGAGCAGGGUUGAUCCCUGGCCUGACACAGUGGGUUAAGGAUUCCUCAUUGCCGCAGCUGUGGUGUAGGUUGCAACUGGGAUCUGAUCCCUGGCCCAGGAACUCCGUAUGUUGCAGGGCAGCAAAAAUAAAUAAAUAAAUAAAUACACGAAAAGGAACUUUCCCAAGAGUUGGAACGGGUGGGGCUCUGUGCCUGUUUCCUGGGGGCUGAGGAGGCCACCUGGCAGGGAUAUUGUUCGGAAGUUGAAUUUGCCCGUAUCAAAGACUUUUCUUCCAUUUCAAAGUUUUGUGAGAUGGUCACAGGUCAGCCCACCUCUGUCUCGUGAAAACCAUUCUGAGUUUAGUCUUCUGGAAUAGUUUUCAUAUGUGAACACAUCUCCAGUGUCUUGCCUGUGAUCAUGAGGCUCGAUUUGUAGAAACGAUGCCUGUUUUCUGAAACAUGGAAGGGAAUAUAUUUGAUUCAGAGGAGAAAGGCUUUGAUUUCAUGGGAAAUGUGUGUCCUUUUCCGAGAACCUCCUAAGAAUGAGCCCAGUGUCCUUCGUGUUUCUCCUUCCCCUGUCCGAGGUGCUUACCACCCUUAUAAAUAAUCAUAAAUGUUGCUUCCGGAGGCUCUUUCUAGAUAAGACAUGGCGUCUCUCCCAAGGAGAAUGAUGUUAGCACUCAACGGCUGAGAAAGGAAGUGAAUUAUCCCUUUGAAACUACCAGGGCACUUGAGGUGGUCAGGAAUUAUCCUGGUAUAGACAGACAGACAGACAAAAAGGUAAACAAGACUCUGGUAUGUUUUUUGUUUUUGGGUUUUUUUUUUUUUUUUUUUUUUUUUUGGCUGCACCCACAGCUUGUGGAAAUUCCUGAGUCAAGGAUCAAACCUGUGCCACAGCAGCGACCUGAGUCAUUGCAGUGACAACACCUGAUUCUUGACUGGCUGCACCACAUGGGAACUCCUCUGGGUAUAUGCUUUUUUUUUUUUUUUUUUUUUGUCUUUUUGCUAUUUCUUGGGCCGCUCCUGUGGCAUAGGGAGGUUCCCAGGCUAGGGGUCCAAUUGGAGCUGUAGCUGCCAGCCUACGCCAGAGCCACAGCAACGCAGGAUCCAAGCCGCGUCUGUGACCUACACCACAGCUCACGGCAACGCCAGAUCCUUGACCCCCUGAGCAAGGGCAGGGACCAAACCCGCAACCUCAUGGUUCCUAGUCGGAUUCAUUAACCAUUGCGCCACGACGGGAACUCCUUUUUUUGUCUUUUUGACUUUUCUAGGGCCACACCCAUCGCAUAUGGAGGUUCCCAGGCUAGGGGUCCAAUUGGAGCUGUAGCCUCCAGUCUAUGCCACAGCCACAGCAACUCAGGAUCCGAGCCACGUCUUCGGCCUACACCACAGCUCACGCAAUGCCGGAUCCUCAACCCACCGAGCGAGGCCAGGGAUUGAACCCGCAUCCUCAUGGAUUCCAGUCAGACUCGUUAACCACUGAGCCACGACGGCAACUCCUGGUGUAUGCUUUUUUAAUGAGGCAAGGCUUUCCUUUUACUAAAUAGCACUAACUGUUGAGUGUUUACACAGAGCUCAGGGAACAUGGAACAUAGAGGUCUGUGUAUUUUUAUAAAUUAAAACAAACAAAAAUACCU
RNAcentral lists this long non-coding RNA (2958 nucleotides) under Sus scrofa (pig). Its description in RNAcentral is "lncRNA (ENSSSCG00060058464.1)". Lineage: Eukaryota; Metazoa; Chordata; Mammalia; Artiodactyla; Suidae. The record is from RNAcentral.